CCUACGGGAGGCUGCAGUGGGGAAUAUUGGACAAUGGGGGCAACCCUGAUCCAGCCAUGCCGCAUGUGUGAAGAAGGCCCUCGGGUUGUAAAGCACUUUCAGUGAGGAAGAACGCCUGGUGGUUAAUACCCAUCAGGAAAGACAUCACUCACAGAAGAAGCACCGGCUAACUCCGUGCCAGCAGCCGCGGUAAUACGGAGGGUGCGAGCGUUAAUCGGAAUUACUGGGCGUAAAGCGCGCGUAGGUGGCUUGAUAAGCCGGUUGUGAAAGCCCCGGGCUCAACCUGGGAACGGCAUCCGGAACUGUCAAGCUAGAGUGCAGGAGAGGAAGGUAGAAUUCCCGGUGUAGCGGUGAAAUGCGUAGAGAUCGGGAGGAAUACCAGUGGCGAAGGCGGCCUUCUGGACUGACACUGACACUGAGGUGCGAAAGCGUGGGUAGCAAACAGGAUUAGAUACCCUAGUAGUC
Molecule: ribosomal RNA, 465 nt
Filed under: Vreelandella stevensii
Lineage: Bacteria; Pseudomonadati; Pseudomonadota; Gammaproteobacteria; Oceanospirillales; Halomonadaceae
Description: partial 16S ribosomal RNA
Rfam family: Bacterial small subunit ribosomal RNA
Source: RNAcentral